RNAcentral lists this ribosomal RNA (232 nucleotides) under uncultured bacterium. RNAcentral describes it as "partial 16S ribosomal RNA". It matches the Rfam family "Bacterial small subunit ribosomal RNA", at positions 103 to 334 of the family's 1533-position model. The record is from RNAcentral.
CGGGUGAGUAACGCGUGGGUAACCUGCCUUGUACUGGGGGACGAACAGUUGGAAACGACUGCUAAUACCGCAUAAGCGCACAGCUUCGCAUGAAGCAGUGCGAAAAACUCCGGUGGUACAAGAUGGACCCGCGUCUGAUUAGCUGGUUGGUGAGGUAACGGCCCACCAAGGCGACGAUCAGUAGCCGGCCUGAGAGGGUGAACGGCCACAUUGGGACUGAGACACGGCCCAA